This 286-nucleotide long non-coding RNA is filed under the name Marmota marmota marmota (Alpine marmot). RNAcentral describes it as "lncRNA (ENSMMMG00000020676.1)". Lineage: Eukaryota; Metazoa; Chordata; Mammalia; Rodentia; Sciuridae. The record is from RNAcentral.
CACCCUCAGAAGAAGUCAGAGCCCCAGAGGCCGGACAACUUACAGCUUAAUGGCUUUACUUUUAGAAAAACUAACAUCCUUCCAAUCAUAUAUUUCUUAGCCAUCAGAAAAGAAAUAAGAAAUCAAAGUUUAAAAUUUUAGACUGGUUUCAAUUUUUGGAUAUAAAAAGAAGUUUUCUGGAAAAUUCUGUCUUUCAGGUAACCAGAGAGAGAGGGUGGAAGGUUAAACUGCUGGAAGAGGACUGAGGCUAAAUAAAGGUGCUGCAUGAGUGAGGCCUUAUUGGGGU